UACACUCCUGCGGGAGGCAGCAGUGGGGAAUAUUGCACAAUGGGCGCAAGCCUGAUGCAGCCAUGCCGCGUGUAUGAAGAAGGCCUUCGGGUUGUAAAGUACUUUCAGCGGGGAGGAAGGUGUUGAGGUUAAUAACCUCAGCAAUUGACGUUACCCGCAGAAGAAGCACCGGCUAACUCCGUGCCAGCAGCCGCGGUAAUACGGAGGGUGCAAGCGUUAAUCGGCAUUACUGGGCGUAAAGCGCACGCAGGCGGUCUGUCAAGUCGGAUGUGAAAUCCCCGGGCUCAACCUGGGAACUGCAUUCGAAACUGGCAGGCUAGAGUCUUGUAGAGGGGGGUAGAAUUCCAGGUGUAGCGGUGAAAUGCGUAGAGAUCUGGAGGAAUACCGGUGGCGAAGGCGGCCCCCUGGACAAAGACUGACGCUCAGGUGCGAAAGCGUGGGGAGCAAACAGGAUUAGAUACCCUAGUAGUCCCA
RNAcentral lists this ribosomal RNA (474 nucleotides) under uncultured organism. Its description in RNAcentral is "partial 16S ribosomal RNA". It matches the Rfam family "Bacterial small subunit ribosomal RNA", at positions 332 to 797 of the family's 1533-position model. The record is from RNAcentral.